This is a long non-coding RNA of Oxyura jamaicensis (ruddy duck), 590 nucleotides long. RefSeq lists it as uncharacterized. The transcript is spliced from 3 exons. The record is from RefSeq and is a predicted model, not a curated record. NCBI's taxonomy places the organism in Eukaryota, Metazoa, Chordata, Aves, Anseriformes, Anatidae.
CCUAACACCAACACAGGCACACUGGGCCUGUCUGGAUUAGCAGCUGAUAGAAGUAGAAAGUAGAUAGCCAGAUAGGAAUUACAAGAAUCUAUUACCAAAUACCUUCCCAAACUUCAGCUUUUUAUUGCUCAGGAUAUUUUUGAGCAGAAAAGGAAUAUUAAGCUAUUUCUCUUUCAAGGCUAAAUUAAGCCCUCACCAGGCAAUGUCAGAGUGUUUGAGGCACCACAUGUCUGUGUGACUGUUGGUAUGGAAGAAUGCGGUUGAGAAGAGUGAGAGCUGGUGCUAGAAGGAUGUUCUGUAAAUGUGGAAGGACCCAUGAUGGAGAGAGGACUCCAAGAUGGAGGAGAUUUCUCAUGGAGAUUUAUGUUGAACUUGUCCUGUAAAUGGCAUUUCAACUGGUGUGUCAACCAACGGAAAAUGGUCAUCAAGAAAUUCAAAACUCUUUUCUUGAUUUUCACUUCAAAAUUGGGAUAAUAAUCCACUGUUAUCAAGCCACUUUUCUGCUCAGUAAUUUUUCAUGCUCAGUAAUUCUUCAAUUAUUUUUCACUGAUUCUGAGAUUAGUGCUCACUAUAAUUUUAAAAGUCUUGGU